Molecule: transfer RNA, 72 nt
Filed under: Dipodomys ordii (Ord's kangaroo rat)
Lineage: Eukaryota; Metazoa; Chordata; Mammalia; Rodentia; Heteromyidae
Rfam family: tRNA
About the family: Transfer RNA (tRNA) molecules are approximately 80 nucleotides in length. Their secondary structure includes four short double-helical elements and three loops (D, anti-codon, and T loops).
Source: Rfam by way of RNAcentral
AGAAGUAUGGUUUAGUUGUACAGAGCCUGCUUGGCAAGCAUGAAGCCCCGAGUUCAAACCUCAGUACUGCUU